ACGCUCGACACCUACGGGGGGCAGCAGUGGGGAAUAUUGCACAAUGGGGGAAACCCGUGAUGCAGCGACGCCGCGUGAGCGAAGAAGUAUUUCGGUAUGUAAAGCUCUAUCAGCAGGGAAGAAACUGACGGUACCUGACUAAGAAGCACCGGCUAAAUACGUGCCAGCAGUCGCGGUAAUCUGAGCGGGCUGGCAAGGC
Molecule: ribosomal RNA, 199 nt
Filed under: uncultured bacterium
Lineage: Bacteria
Description: partial 16S ribosomal RNA
Rfam family: Bacterial small subunit ribosomal RNA
Source: RNAcentral